CAGUAGCCACGGUAAUACGUAGGGUGCGAGCGUUAAUCGGAAUUACUGGGCGUAAAGCGUGCGCAGGCGGUUAUAUAAGACAGAUGUGAAAUCCCCGGGCUUAACCUGGGAACUGCAUUUGUGACUGGCGGGCUAGAGUAUGGCAGAGGGGGGUAGAAUUCCACGUGUAGCAGUGAAAUGCGUAGAUAUGUGGAGGAAUACCGAUGGCGAAGGCAGCCCCCUGGGAUAACACUGACGCUCAUGCACGAAAGCGUGGGGAGCGAACAGGAUUAGAUACCCCCGUAGUCCCUGUCUCUUAUAA
RNAcentral lists this ribosomal RNA (301 nucleotides) under uncultured bacterium. Its description in RNAcentral is "partial 16S ribosomal RNA". It matches the Rfam family "Bacterial small subunit ribosomal RNA", at positions 509 to 809 of the family's 1533-position model. The record is from RNAcentral.